CCGCGCAGCCAUGGCGGCCGCCGCUCUCGUGGUGGGGUUGGCUCUGCAGCCUGGGGCCAGGACCCUGCGUGCGUUCUCCACCGCCGUGUCCCCCGCCACUCACGCUCCGAGACCUACCCCGCGAUGAAGUGGCAUCUUUAAAAGAACAACGGAAGAAAAGGAAUCUGAAGUAAAAAGGCUACACGAAAAAUUGGUUUCCAAGAUGAAAGAAGGGAUUGAAAUUCUUGACAGAGAUGUUGAAGUACAAAAAAUGAAAAAGGCUGUGGAGUCUUUGGUGGCAGCAAAUAAAGAAAAUGUAUUCAGAUGACAUUUAAAUAUUUAUGUGGAUGUUUUGUAACAACAUUUUGAGGAUCCCAUACAAUUUCAUAAGAUAUCCCAUUUUGAAAGAACAUACCCCAAACACUACUGACACUAAGGGGCAAGUGUGCCCUGUCCCCGCCCAGGUGUGCACACUCCCACUGGUGGCAGCUGUCGUCGUGGCUGUGUGCACAGGAGUAGGCGCCAGUAGCACCGGCUCCACCCAGAACCCCCACCAGCAUGAAUUGAGAAAACAUUCCAGCAUUCAGAUCAAUUCUGCAUUUCAGGUGACAAAUAAAGGAAAGGAUAUGUUCCAUAGCACAUCUUUUCUGUGGUCACUGGAAAUUCUGAGGGAGGGAGCUCCAUGACAGUCUUGGCUUCACAGUCACGAUGGAUUUCUUCUCCAUAGACACGUUAUUUCCUUCACGCUCCUGGCAGCUUUCACAUCUGGGAUUGUCUCUGCUCUCCUGAGAGAUGAAAUACCAGAAAACAGAGACACGGGCUUUGCUUUAGCUACGCUGGCCUAACACCAAGGUCUCCACGGGUUCCCUGCCUCAGAUGGAUCUCCUCACCCACAUCUGGUGUUUCAUCCUAAGAGCAUGGAUGCAGUUACCCGACUAAGGCGUGUGUUUGUCAUGGCUUACCUGACCAUGCGUGUAUGUGGCGCAGCCACAGUCAGGCUCAGCUCAUGUCAUCAGAACUGCUCUCCCCUUAUGCGCCUGAAUGAUUAGAACACGGGGACGUUUUCUCAAGAAAAGAGAAAUUUCAAGGAAGUAAAAAACAACAAAAUUCCAAAGAACUUUGGCUUGAUCUUUUUCUCUCAUUGUAAGUUUCUUUCUCGAAUUCUUGCCUACUGUUUUACUUCUUACUUAUUUUUGCCUUUCACUCUUUAUUUGCUUUUUAUUCCACAGAAAUAAACUUAUUGUCAUACCCACUUACCUAUUUAUAGGGUCCUUUUUGCUAAUCUUCCCCACU
Molecule: long non-coding RNA, 1272 nt
Organism: Lemur catta (Ring-tailed lemur)
Lineage: Eukaryota; Metazoa; Chordata; Mammalia; Primates; Lemuridae
Exons: 3
Source: RefSeq, a predicted model, not a curated record